Pectinophora gossypiella (pink bollworm) is the source of this 595-nucleotide long non-coding RNA. RefSeq lists it as uncharacterized. NCBI's taxonomy places the organism in Eukaryota, Metazoa, Arthropoda, Insecta, Lepidoptera, Gelechiidae. The transcript has 4 exons. The record is from RefSeq and is a predicted model, not a curated record.
AGGAAAUGCAGAAGGCAAAAAACUGCGUAGGAGAUCAUUAAUACAAAAGUAUUAUAUAAACCAAACCUGAUGUUGCCAGCUCCUUCAAUGAAUGCAGCAGUGUGACAGCCAACAAUCAAAAGUAACAAGAUAUCGAGGAAAUGCAGAAGGCAAAAAACUGCGUAGGAGAUCAUUAAUACAAUAGUAUUAUAUAAACCAAGCCUGAUGUUGGCCGCUCAUUCAAAGAAUGCAGCAGUGUGACAGCCAGCAAUCAAAAGUAACAAGAUGUCGAGGAAAUGCAGAGUGUAAUAAACUGUGUAGGAGAUUAUGAUUGCAAUAGAAUAAAAUCGACCAAGCCUGAAGUCCUUCAAUGCACGCAGCAGUGUGACAGCCAGCAAUCAAAAGUUACAAGAUAUCGAGGAAAUACAGAAGGCAAAGAAGCAGAUGUCAUCAAAGAAGAUCUUUGUUCCUGCAAUGUUUCCGCAGACGAUACAUCCAACAGAGCGAAGUGGAAGGAAAAGACUCGGAAUAAAGACCCCACCACCAUAUGGGAACAAUGCAAGGGAGAGAGAGAGAAUAUAAUGUUAUAUUUUUAUUUUUUGAUAACAUAAAAUAA